GUCCACGCCCUAAACGAUGUCGACUGGUUGUUGGGGGUUUGACACUCUCAGUAACGAAGCUAACGCGUGAAGUCGACCGCCUGGGGAGUACGGCCGCAAGGUUAAAACUCAAAAGGAAUUGACGGGGACCCGCACAAGCGGUGGAUUAUGUGGAUUAAUUCGAUGCAACGCGAAAAACCUUACCUACCCUUGACAUGUCCUGGAGGUCCCUGAGAGGGGACUGUGCCCGAAAAGGGAACGGAACACAGGUGCUGCAUGGCUGUCGU
Molecule: ribosomal RNA, 266 nt
Filed under: uncultured bacterium
Lineage: Bacteria
Description: partial 16S ribosomal RNA
Rfam family: Bacterial small subunit ribosomal RNA
Source: RNAcentral